CUUGGUCAUUUAGAGGAAGUAAAAGUCGUAACAAGGUUUCCGUAGGUGAACCUGCGGAAGGAUCAUUAUUGAAAUAAACAUUUGAUAGGCUGUUGCUGGCCCUUCUUGGGUAGUGUGCACGCUUGUCAUUUAUUUAUCUAUUUCCACCUGUGCACCUUUUUGUAGACCUUAGAGAAGACUGCUGUGCGGGCCUCUCUAGGUUCUAUGUUACUCACAUACUCCUAUGAAUGUAAUAGAAUGUUGAUCUGGGUCUUUGCCCAUAAAGUUAUAUACAACUUUCAGCAAUGGAUCUCUUGGCUCUCGCAUCGAUGAAGAACGCAGCGAAAUGCGAUAAGUAAUGUGAAUUGCAGAAUUCAGUGAAUCAUCGAAUCUUUGAACGCAUCUUGCGCUCCUUGGUAUUCUGAGGAGCAUGCCUGUUUGAGUGUCGUGAACAUCCUUCAACCUUUCUUGGUUUCUUGACCAAGAAAGGCUUGGACUUUGGGGGUCUUUCAUUGCUGGCCUCUUUGAAGCCAGCUCCUCCUAAAUGGAUUAGUGUGGUCUGCUUUGCCGAUCCUUGACGUGAUAAGAUGUUUCUACGUCUUGGGUUUCGCACUGUCGCUUUAGACCCCGCUUCUAACCGUCUCGUCUUGCAUUCAAGACAGAGUUUUUAAACCUUGACCUCAAAUCGGGUGAGACUACCCGCUGAACUUAAGCAUAUCAAUAAGCGGAGGA
RNAcentral lists this ribosomal RNA (711 nucleotides) under uncultured Russula. Its description in RNAcentral is "eukaryotic LSU rRNA". The stretch from base 274 to 427 matches the Rfam family "5.8S ribosomal RNA". Lineage: Eukaryota; Fungi; Basidiomycota; Agaricomycetes; Russulales; Russulaceae. The record is from RNAcentral.